GCCUCCAGGAAAUAUGGGAUUAUGUGGAAAGACCUAUGUUUGAUAGGUGUACCUGAAUAAGAAAGAGAAUGAAUCCAAGUUGGAAAACACUCUUUAGGAUAUUAUCCAAAAGAACUUCCCCAACCUAGCAAGACAGGCCAAUAUUCAAGUCCAGGAAAUACAGAGAACACCACAAAAAUAUUCCUUAAGAAGAAACACCUCAAGGCACGUAAUCAUCAGAUUAACCGGGGCUGAAAUGAAGGCAAAAAACGCUAAGGGC
Long non-coding RNA from Cebus imitator (Panamanian white-faced capuchin), 259 nucleotides. RefSeq lists it as uncharacterized. The transcript is spliced from 3 exons. The record is from RefSeq and is a predicted model, not a curated record. Lineage: Eukaryota; Metazoa; Chordata; Mammalia; Primates; Cebidae.